This 84-nucleotide transfer RNA is filed under the name Isosphaeraceae bacterium. Its description in RNAcentral is "tRNA-Ser". The record is from RNAcentral. Lineage: Bacteria; Pseudomonadati; Planctomycetota; Planctomycetia; Isosphaerales; Isosphaeraceae.
GGAAGGGCCACCCGAUGGGCGACGGGACCCGCUUGGAAGGCGGGCGAGCGAUGAGCCUUGGGGGUUCGACUCCCCCUCCUUCCG